RNAcentral lists this ribosomal RNA (478 nucleotides) under uncultured soil bacterium. RNAcentral's name for it is "bacterial SSU rRNA". It matches the Rfam family "Bacterial small subunit ribosomal RNA", at positions 26 to 518 of the family's 1533-position model. The record is from RNAcentral.
AGGACGAACGCUGGCGGCGUGCUUAACACAUGCAAGUCGAGCGGUAAGGCCUUUCGGGGUACACGAGCGGCGAACGGGUGAGUAACACGUGGGUGAUCUGCCCUGCACUCUGGGAUAAGCCUGGGAAACUGGGUCUAAUACCGGAUAUGACCUGCUCUCGCAUGGGGGUGGGUGGAAAGAUUUAUCGGUGCAGGGAUGGGGCCCGCGGCCUAUCAGCUUGUUGGUGGGGUAAUGGCCUACCAAGGCGACGACGGGUAGCCGACCUGAGGAGGGUGACCGGCCACGACUGGGACUGAGACACGGCCCAGACUCCUACGGGAGGCAGCAGUGGGAAUAUGCACAAUGGGCAAAGCCUGAUGCAGCGACGCCGCGUGAGGAUGAAGGCCUUGGGUUAGUAAACCUCUUUCAGCAGGACGAAGCGCAAGUGACGUACCUGCAAGAAGAACGCACCGGCUAACGACGUCGCCAAGCAGCCGAC